This 73-nucleotide transfer RNA is filed under the name Ailuropoda melanoleuca (giant panda). It matches the Rfam family "tRNA". From Rfam's summary of the family: Transfer RNA (tRNA) molecules are approximately 80 nucleotides in length. Lineage: Eukaryota; Metazoa; Chordata; Mammalia; Carnivora; Ursidae. The record is from Rfam by way of RNAcentral.
GCCUGGCUGGCUCAGUCAGUGGAGCAUGGGACUCUUGAUCUCUGGCUUAUGAGUUUGAAUCCCAUACUGGGUG